Molecule: long non-coding RNA, 199 nt
Filed under: Ananas comosus (pineapple)
Lineage: Eukaryota; Viridiplantae; Streptophyta; Magnoliopsida; Poales; Bromeliaceae
Description: long non-coding RNA (ACOM_LNC016591)
Source: RNAcentral
CUUUUCCGAAGCAUACCCACUCGACAAUUAGUCGAUUCUGAGCGAAGUCCAACUCUCGAAUUUCAAAAAUUCACUUCCUUACAUGUACAUUAACAUUCUUGACUCUCUAAUGCCACACACUAUUUGUUCAUCUCUAGCAUUCAAUACAUUCGUUAAUGCCACACUUGCAACACUAGCAUUCAUAACCUAUUAAUGCCAC